RNAcentral lists this ribosomal RNA (253 nucleotides) under uncultured bacterium. Its description in RNAcentral is "partial 16S ribosomal RNA". It matches the Rfam family "Bacterial small subunit ribosomal RNA", at positions 524 to 776 of the family's 1533-position model. The record is from RNAcentral.
GACGUAGGGGGCUAGCGUUGCUCGGAAUCACUGGGCGUAAAGGGUGCGUAGGCGGGUCUUUAAGUCAGGGGUGAAAUCCUGGAGCUCAACUCCAGAACUGCCUUUGAUACUGGCGAUCUUGAGACCGGGAGAGGUGAGUGGAACUGCUAGUGUAGAGGUGAAAUUCGUAGAUAUUAGCAAGAACACCAGUGGCGAAGGCGGCUCACUGGCCCGAUACUGACGCUGAGGCACGAAAGCGUGGGGAGCAAACAGG